AACGAUGGAGGAGGAGGAGGAGCGGGAGGCCCGGGCCCAGGCCUGCGGUUGGGAGAAGCUAUGCCAAGAAUGUAAACCAUCCGCCGGACGCUGCGCUCGCUCCUGUUGCUGCUGCCGCCGCCUCCUCCCCUCGGUCCCUGGGCCCGGCAGCGGCCGCGCCGAACGCAGGCCCGCCAAGGGGAAGCAUGUCCGAGGAGGUGGCGUCGGUGGCUGCCGGGGUUCCCGGGUCGUGGGCUCCCACGCGGCACCGUCGGGGCUGGGCGUCCCCGAAGCCUCAGAGUCGGCACUGGGCCGCCUGGAUCCAGGGCCACCGAAGAGCUUGCGCAUCUCGGUGACGCUGGGCCAGGCCCCGCGCGCGGCUCCCUCCGCCGCUUCUUCCGCGGCCCCGGGGGAAACGCCCCCGUCUCGGGCCCCAGUGGCGUUGUCGUCCAGAUGCUGCGCGUCGAAGCGCCUGGAGAGCUGGCGCACCGACGGCGAGAGGCUACGGAGCGGGCGCGGCUGCGCGGGGGCGGCCGGGGGCCCAGACGCCAGCUUGGACACGCGCCGGGAGGGCUGGCCCGGGACGUCCGAGGCCGGCCGGCACGAAGCGCGGCGCCGCAGCCCGGAGGUGUCCGUUGCCUCCUCCCUUGGCCCUGGCCCGCCGCUCCAGCGCUCUAGCAGCUUGAACGAGACGCUGCGAUAAAGCUGGGGCCGGGGCGCCCCGUCCGCCAUGGUGGCGGCACUCACUCUGGGGGGGCUGGCCUCGGGGAGCCGCGGCCAACCCCCCCUGCGCCCCCGCCCCAAAGGAGCGCAGCGGCUGGGGUCCGAAGGCCUGGGUCCCGCAGCCGCAGUGCGAGGCGGUUAGCGGGGAAAGGGUGCAGGGACCGGAGCACAGGUUUAUCUGCUGCGGCUCAAGUUUCUGCGCCCGCGGGCCGCAUCGGCUCCAUCCCGCGCGACCCCUCCCGCCUCAGAGUCGACUCCCGGGCCCAGCCCCCGCCUCUCCCGGUGCGACCCGGAGCAUCGCGGCCCGACCCGGCGUACAGUCGGGUUGGCGCACCCUCUGCAUUCGGGCGGAAAUGCCUCCUGCCCAAGGGACCCCAACAUGGCAACCUCGUACCCAAAAACUGUCGUACACAACACCGACACUCAGGUCUCUGGGGUACGCGGCUCCAGCGCCGUCUACCGGCCGGAUUCGCCCACCCCCGUGGAGCCUUGGACGACUAAAGCUGCACCCGCCACAGAAAAAAAAAAACAAACCCGGAGAGUUGGGACGACUUCACUUCCUUUACUUCCUUCUAGUCGUUAACUAGUCCCUUCAGGAGCCGUUUCAAACCUCUUCCCUUCGCAAAAUGCACUGCCCUUCCUUCGACUUCACACACAAAAGGCGCUUUGACGGGAACGCCCUCGAUUUACCACUGCCAAACCUACACUCCUACCUGACUCCCAUCCGCCCUCCUGUCAGGCAAGGUGUGGGUGGCUUCUACCGCUUCACACCACCCUUGGAGGUAGAUCUUAUUGCCCCUUCUCUGUGGGUCAUGAAGAACUUUGACCAGUGUCAAAGUCAGGAAAUGGCAGCUCCUGGUAUGACUCAAAUUCAGAUUUCAGGAGCUUUAAACACCAUGCUCCUCCAGAGAGCCUGUGCUGGUUCCAGAUCCCUGAUGAGCCCCCAGCAAUAUCCUCCUCCUCCCUGGGCCUGGGAUCAGCCUCCCCAGGAACAGCGGACACUCAUGUUACCCUUAGCCCAAGAGGACUGUGGCUGGGCCCCAUUAGCUAGGAGGCCCUGGGAGCAGGAGGCCCUGGUCCAGAUGAACAGGCAGGGCUGGGUGCAGGGCAGGAAGGUAGACACUCAGGGAUUGCCUGACUACCGCAUGAGACACGGAGGACUCAGCGAGAACCCCAGGGCCCUGCUUGCUGCUUCCCUUGGGUUGUGGGAAAUAACUGUAGGGAGAAAGCUCUUCCUCUUUGAGUUGAGACCAGCCUCCAAUAAGUCCCUCAACUCAACCUUAUCUCCUCUCUGUCUCAAAGGGGCCAGCUAUCGUUCACUCUUCAAUGGGAAAUUGAUAACAAGGAAGAGAGCUCUGUCUGGCCUAUUGCCUCUCUGCCCUUUCCUUGCUGUGUGACCUUGGGUAAAUCCCUGCACUUCCCUGGGCCUCAGCUGCCUCAUCUGAAAAGUAUGGAGUGGGUUUAAGUUUCCCCAAGGGAAACUCUGACUCUGCCUCUCUCUGACUCUAUUUGAAAUCAGACUCUUGUCUCUUCUAGGUUGUUUUGGUAUGGUGGAGGGGACCCUCAUCCUGGAAGUCACUGCUCCCCUCCAAUAAUAAUGAUGGCCCCUGCCAUCUGAAAUUUGUAAUUUUCCAAGCUCUGUCACACCUGGUCAUUUUCUGUCUUCACGUCACUUCUGGGAUAGAGGAUAGAGUUUUUUAUUCCCAAAUCACAGAUGGGGAAGCUGAUGGAGAGGAGGAGAGACUCAGGUCACAGGCUCCCAGCGCCCUGCAGCUUGGCCUUGAGAUGGGCUAGAUGGGGCCUUUGGACCAGGAAUCCCCUUGGUGGGGAGGGAGGGUGUUUAAGGACCUACGCUAGGCCUCCACCCAAUGGGAAGCCCACCCAAUCGGAGAUUGGCUUGGCUGCUUACGGUACUUCAUGAGUGCUCCCCCCACCAGCCCCUUCUGAUUCAGGAUGAGACAAAGGCAUCUUCUAGGCACAGAGAGGGCCUGGGUGUUUUUAACCCUCAGAAUAUUCAUCUAGAAGGGGUCUGGAAGCACUGGGUGCCAGGGCGGAGAGCAACACCAAGCCGGGCCCAAUGCAGGCACCCUUACAGAUGUGACAGGUGGCCCUCAGCGAGUUGCUGUUUUCCUUUGGGCCUCAGGCUCGUCACCUAUGAAAGGGGAAUGAAAACAAUAACCCAUCUACCCAGUGAGUUGUGGUGACCCAGCAAUAUCAGGGCUGUAGAAUCCCUUGGGGAAAUGAAGAUAGGAAGAUUGUGAUGGUCACAGUCAAGGCCAAUGAUGGGCCUCAGGCACUUAAGAGGGAGAAAGAUGAGGAGUGAGAGGACUCCAAGAAGCAAUGAGCUCCGGACAGGAGCUGUCUUAGGGGGAGUCUGGCUCCUAACUCCAUUCCAAAGUCAAAUAGAAUUGACCCAAGAUUGUCCCCUUUCCUGUAUAAUUAGGCCUCAAGUGCACAGAAUUGGAUUAUUUGUAACCUUUUGUUCAUGACACAUUCUCACCAGAUAGUUAAUUGAUUCCCAUCAAAAAACAAAACAACUAGGGCCUUUACAAUGUUCUGUAUCUCAUUAUAUAGUUCUCCCAUCACUCAUUCUCCUGCUGCUAUCCCGCCACCCACGAUAACCAUCACCUCCUGUGUUCAGCAUUCCCUUGCUUUCCUUUUUAUAUAGUUUUAUUGCAUCUGUG
Molecule: long non-coding RNA, 3386 nt
Organism: Balaenoptera ricei (Rice's whale)
Lineage: Eukaryota; Metazoa; Chordata; Mammalia; Artiodactyla; Balaenopteridae
Exons: 3
Source: RefSeq, a predicted model, not a curated record